This 429-nucleotide ribosomal RNA is filed under the name uncultured bacterium. RNAcentral's name for it is "bacterial SSU rRNA". It matches the Rfam family "Bacterial small subunit ribosomal RNA", at positions 346 to 793 of the family's 1533-position model. The record is from RNAcentral.
AGGCAGCAGUAAGGAAUAUUGGUAAUGGGCGAAAGCCUGAACCAGCAACGCCGCGUGUGCGAUGAAGGCCUUCGGGUUGUAAAGCACUUUUUGAGGGGAUGAGGAAGGACAGUACCCUCAGAAUAAGUCUCGGCUAACUACGUGCCAGCAGCCGCGGUAACACGUAGGAGACUAGCGUUAUCCGGAUUUACUGGGCGUAAAGCGCGUGCAGGUGGCUCGGAAAGUCCGAUGUGAAAGCUCCCGGCUUAACUGGGAGAGGUCGUUGAAUAUUUCGGGCUAGAGGAUGGGAGAGGGAGGCGGAAUUCCGGGUGUAGUGGUGAAAUGCGUAGAUAUCCGGAGGAACACCAGUGGCGAAAGCGGCCUCCUGGCCCAUUUCUGACACUCAGACGCGAAGGCUAGGGUAGCAAACAGGAUUAGAUACCCCGGUAG